Molecule: ribosomal RNA, 403 nt
Filed under: bacterium
Lineage: Bacteria
Description: bacterial SSU rRNA
Rfam family: Bacterial small subunit ribosomal RNA
Source: RNAcentral
UAGGAGACUUUCAGAGAUGCUUUGGUGCCUUCGGGAACUCUGAGACAGGUGCUGCAUGGCUGUCGUCAGCUCGUGUUGUGAAAUGUUGGGUUAAGUCCCGCAACGAGCGCAACCCUUAUCCUUUGUUGCCAGCGGUUAGGCCGGGAACUCAAAGGAGACUGCCAGUGAUAAACUGGAGGAAGGUGGGGAUGACGUCAAGUCAUCAUGGCCCUUACGAGUAGGGCUACACACGUGCUACAAUGGCGCAUACAAAGAGAAGCGACCUCGCGAGAGCAAGCGGACCUCAUAAAGUGCGUCGUAGUCCGGAUUGGAGUCUGCAACUCGACUCCAUGAAGUCGGAAUCGCUAGUAAUCGUAGAUCAGAAUGCUACGGUGAAUACGUUCCCGGGCCUUGUACACACCGA